UACCACACACUACUCUACUAUAGACUACUGUACUAUACACUACUCUGCUAUAGACUACACUACUAUGCGCUGCUACACACUACACUACUAUACACCACACUAAACACUACACACCACACUAAACACUACACACUGCUAUACACUCCAUACGACACUGCGCUAGACAUUCCCCACUAUAGAUACUCCCCCCGCACACCCCACUCUAUAUAAAUAUAAACUCUGUCCACAUCGCCCUCUCUCUCGCUCGGUGUCACAUCCACGGUUUUAGUGGUCCACGGUGAGUGUCUACAUAGUGGUGAGCUGGUGAGAGUCUACACAGUGGUGAGCUGGUGAGAGUCUACACAGUGGUCCAUGGUGAGAGUCUACACAGUGGUGAGCUGGUGAGAGUCUACACAGUGGUGAGCUGGUGAGAGUCUACACAGUGGUGAGGUGGUGAGAGUCUACACAGUGGUGAGUGUCUACACAGUGGUGAGGUGGUGAGAGUCUACACAGUGGUGAGGUGGUGAGUCUACACAGUGGUGAGCGUCUACACAGUGGUGAGAGUCUUCAAAGUGGUGAGGUGAUGAGUCUACACAGUGGUGAGUGUCUACACAGUGGUGAGGUGGUGAGUCUACACAGUGGUGAGGUGGCGAGUCUACACAGUGGUGAUAACACAUUGGUGAGAGUCUAGACAAUGGUGUCUGCACACUAUUCAUCUCACCUGGCUAGAUGAAUAGUGAAUCUCAGUGGGGUCGCUCUCACCUGGCUAGAUGAAUAGUGAAUCUCAGUGGGGUAGCUCUCACCUGGCUAUAUGAAUAGUGAAUAUCAUUGGAGUGGCUCUCACCUGGCUAGAUGAAUAGUGAAUCUCAGUGGAGUGGCUCUCACCUGGCUAGAUGAAUAGUGAAUCUCAGUGGGGUCGCUCUCACCUGGCUAUAUGAAUAGUGAAUCUCAGGGGGGGUUAGCUCUCACCUGGCUAGAUGAAUAGUGAAUCUCACUGGGGUCGCUCUCACCUGGCUAUAUGAAUAGUGAAUCUCAGGGGGGGUUAGCUCUCACCUGGCUAGAUGAAUAGUGAAUCUCAGUGGGGUAGCUCUCACGUGGCUAGAUGAAUAGUGAAUCUCAGUAGAGUGGCUCUCACCUGGCUAGAUGAAGUGAAUCUCAGUGGGGUAGCUCUCACCUGGCUAUAUGAAUAGUGAAUCUCAGUGGGGUAGCUCUCACGUGGCUAGAUGAAUAGUGAAUCUCACUGGGGUCACUCUCACCUGGCUAGAUGAAUAGUGAAUCUCAGUGGGGUAGCUCUCACCUGGCUAUAUGAAUAGUGAAUCUCAGUGGGGUAGCUCUCACGUGGCUAGAUGAAUAGUGAAUCUCAGUGGGGUAGCUCUCACCUGGCUAGAUCAAUAGUGAAUCUCAGUGGGGUAGCUCUCACGUGGCUAGAUGAAUAGUGAAUCUCAGUGGGGUAGCUCUCACCUGGCUAUAUGAAUAGUGAAUCUCAGUGGGGUAGCUCUCACGUGGCUAGAUGAAUAGUGAAUCUCAGUGGGGUAGCUCUCACCUGGCUAGAUCAAUAGUGAAUCUCAGUGGGGUAGCUCUCACGUGGCUAGAUGAAUAGUGAAUCUCACUGGGGUCGCUCUCACCUGGCUAUAUGAAUAGUGAAUCUCAGUGGGGUAGCUCUCACCUGGCUAGAUGAAUAGUGAAUCUCAACGGGGUCA
Petromyzon marinus (sea lamprey) is the source of this 1679-nucleotide non-coding RNA. Lineage: Eukaryota; Metazoa; Chordata; Hyperoartia; Petromyzontiformes; Petromyzontidae. The record is from RefSeq and is a predicted model, not a curated record.